AUUCUCACCACCAUUCUCAACACU
RNAcentral lists this microRNA (24 nucleotides) under Prunus persica (peach). Its description in RNAcentral is "microRNA miRNA_35". Lineage: Eukaryota; Viridiplantae; Streptophyta; Magnoliopsida; Rosales; Rosaceae. The record is from RNAcentral.